This 253-nucleotide ribosomal RNA is filed under the name uncultured bacterium. Its description in RNAcentral is "partial 16S ribosomal RNA". It matches the Rfam family "Bacterial small subunit ribosomal RNA", at positions 524 to 776 of the family's 1533-position model. The record is from RNAcentral.
UACAGAGGUCUCAAGCGUUGUUCGGAUUCAUUGGGCGUAAAGGGCGCGUAGGCGGCGGGGUAAGUCGGGUGUGAAAUCUCAGAGCUCAACUCUGAAAUGGCACUUGAUACUGCUCUGCUAGAGGACUGGAGAGGAGAUUGGAAUUCACGGUGUAGCAGUGAAAUGCGUAGAUAUCGUGAGGAAGACCAGUGGCGAAGGCGGGUCUCUGGACAGUUCCUGACGCUGAGGCACGAAGGCCAGGGGAGCAAACGGG